RNAcentral lists this ribosomal RNA (399 nucleotides) under uncultured Salpingoecidae. Its description in RNAcentral is "partial small subunit ribosomal RNA". It matches the Rfam family "Eukaryotic small subunit ribosomal RNA", at positions 30 to 432 of the family's 1831-position model. The record is from RNAcentral. Lineage: Eukaryota; Choanoflagellata; Craspedida; Salpingoecidae.
GCUUGUCUCAAAGAUUAAGCCAUGCAUGUCUAAGUAUAAACAAAUCUAUACUGUGAAACUGCGAAUGGCUCAUUAUAUCAGUUAUAGUUUCUUUGAUGGUUCUUACUACUUGGAUAACCGUAGUAAUUCUAGAGCUAAUACAUGCAUGAACCCCCGACUUUUGAAGGGGUGUAUUUAUUAGAUUGAAACCAAUGCGGGUUCCCCGGUAUUUGGUGAUUCAUAAUAACUUUGCGAAUCGCAUGGCCUUGCGCCGGCGAUGAAUCAUUCAAAUUUCUGCCCUAUCAACUUUCGAUGGUAAGGUAUUGGCCUACCAUGGUUACAACGGGUAACGGGGAAUUAGGGUUCGGUUCCGGAGAGGGCGCCUGAGAAAUGGCGACCACAUCCAAGGAAGGCAGCAGG